This 984-nucleotide ribosomal RNA is filed under the name Coloconger cadenati (congro). Its description in RNAcentral is "partial 16S ribosomal RNA". It matches the Rfam family "Bacterial large subunit ribosomal RNA", at positions 1283 to 2925 of the family's 2925-position model. Lineage: Eukaryota; Metazoa; Chordata; Actinopteri; Anguilliformes; Colocongridae. The record is from RNAcentral.
UAGAAGAAACAAUGCUAAAAUUAGUAAUAAGAGAGCACCAGGCUCUCUCCCGGCACAUGUGUAAGUCAGAUCGGACCAACCACUGACAAAUAACGGACCCAAAAAGAGGGAAAAACAAUAAACCAAAAAAACAAGAAAACCUUGUCACAGCCAACCGUUAACCCAACACAGGAGUGCCCCAGGGAAAGACUAAAAGGAGAAGAAGGAACUCGGCAAAUACAAACCCCGCCUGUUUACCAAAAACAUCGCCUCUUGCUAACAAAUGAAGUAUUAGAGGUCCCGCCUGCCCUGUGACCAAUGUGUUUAACGGCCGCGGUAUCCUGACCGUGCGAAGGUAGCGUAAUCACUUGUCUUUUAAAUGAAGACCUGUAUGAAUGGCAUAACGAGGGUUUAACUGUCUCCUUCCCCCAGUCAAUGAAAUUGAUCUGCUCGUGCAGAAGCGGGCAUAUAAACAUGGGACGAGAAGACCCUGCGGAGCUUUAGGCUAAGGAUCAAACAUGUAAAACAGACUCCUCUCUACAAAACUGCAAGCCCCAGAACCAAUCGUAACAUGAUUCAAAUGCCUUCGGUUGGGGCGACCGCGGGGGAAAAUAAAGCCCCCACAUGGAAUGAAGACACCUUCCAAACUAAGAAUAACAACUCAAAGUAACAGAACAUCUGCCCAAAAAUGACCCAGGAUAAACCAAACCUGAUCAAUGAACCAAGUUACCCCAGGGAUAACAGCGCAAUCCUUUCCCAGAGUCCAUAUCGACGAAAGGGUUUACGACCUCGAUGUUGGAUCAGGACAUCCUAAUGGUGCAGCCGCUAUUAAGGGUUCGUUUGUUCAACGAUUAACAGUCCUACGUGAUCUGAGUUCAGACCGGAGUAAUCCAGGUCGGUUUCUAUCCAUGUUUUACCACUUCUUCCCCGUACGAAAGGAUCGGAAAAAGGGGGCCCAUACUAAAAGCAAGCCCCACCCCCACCUUCUGAAAACAAAUAAAAAAG